Molecule: ribosomal RNA, 484 nt
Filed under: uncultured bacterium
Lineage: Bacteria
Description: partial 16S ribosomal RNA
Source: RNAcentral
GUAGUUAGCCGGGGCUUCCUCCCGUGGUACCGUCAUUCUCUUCUUCCCACAGGACAAAAGUUUACAAUCCAAAGACCUUCUUCCUUCACGCGGCGUUGCUGGGUCAGGCUUGCGCCCAUUGCCCAAUAUUCCCCACUGCUGCCUCCCGUAGGAGUCUGGACCGUGUCUCAGUUCCAGUGUGGCCGGCCAACCUCUCAGUCCGGCUACCCAUCGUCGCCUUGGUAGGCCGUUACCCUACCAACUAGCUAAUGGGACGCGAGCUCAUCUUACACCGGAUUUCUCCUUUGACCCCUUGACCAUGUGAUCUCGUGGUCUUAUGCGGUAUUAGCACUGAUUUCUCAGUGUUAUCCCCCUGUGUAAGGCAGAUUGCUCACGCGUUACUCACCCGUCCGCCACUAAGCAAAAACCGAAAUCUUUGCUCCGUUCGACUUGCAUGUGUUAGGCACGCCGCCAGCGUUCGUCCUGAGCCAUAAUCAAACUCUGA